UACGUAGGGUGCAAGCGUUGUCCGGAAUUAUUGGGCGUAAAGAGCUCGUAGGCGGUUUGUCGCGUCGGCUGUGAAAUCCCGAGGCUCAACCUCGGGCCUGCAGUCGAUACGGGCAAACUAGAGUGUGGUAGGGGAGACUGGAAUUCCUGGUGUAGCGGUGAAAUGCGCAGAUAUCAGGAGGAACACCGGCGGCGAAGGCGGCUCUCUGGGACGGUACUGACGCUGAGACGCGAAAGCGUGGGGAGCGAACAGG
RNAcentral lists this ribosomal RNA (253 nucleotides) under uncultured bacterium. Its description in RNAcentral is "partial 16S ribosomal RNA". It matches the Rfam family "Bacterial small subunit ribosomal RNA", at positions 524 to 776 of the family's 1533-position model. The record is from RNAcentral.